RNAcentral lists this long non-coding RNA (447 nucleotides) under Nicotiana benthamiana. RNAcentral's name for it is "long non-coding RNA (NBEN_LNC013931)". Lineage: Eukaryota; Viridiplantae; Streptophyta; Magnoliopsida; Solanales; Solanaceae. The record is from RNAcentral.
CUGCGAUGGCCAUGCUCACGGUGGUGGCGGUCCUCAUGGUGGUCGCGGCGAUGGCGGUCCUCAUGAUGGUGAUCAUCAUAAUCUUCAUACUUUCUCUUGGACGAAGGGCGAGGAAGUUCAGGAUCUCGCGAUCGACGGUCUGGAGAUGGCCUCGCAGGCCGACUGUGAUGGUCAAGGUCAGGUGAUGGCCUCUCAGGUCGGCGGUGGUCAAGCUCCGGCGAAGGCCUCUCAGGUCGGCGGUGGUGGUCAAGGUCCGGUGAUCAGGCCGACGGUGAUAGUCAAGGUCAGGUGAUGGCCUCUCAGGUCGGCGGCGAUGGUCAAGCUCCGGCGAAUGCCUCUCAGAUCGGCGGCGGUGGUCAAGGUCCUGUGAUGGCCUCUCAGGUCGGCGGUGGUGAUCAAGGUCCGGUGAUGGCCUCUCUGGUCGGCGGGGACGGCCGGAGCUCGAUU